RNAcentral lists this ribosomal RNA (73 nucleotides) under Sphingobacteriaceae bacterium. RNAcentral describes it as "partial 23S ribosomal RNA". Lineage: Bacteria; Pseudomonadati; Bacteroidota; Sphingobacteriia; Sphingobacteriales; Sphingobacteriaceae. The record is from RNAcentral.
UAAAUUUUUUAAAGCAAUUAAGGGCACAUGGUGGAUGCCUUGGGUCUGAGAGGCGAUGAAGGACGUGGUAAGC